UAUUGCACAAUGGGCGCAAGCCUGAUGCAGCCAUGCCGCGUGUAUGAAGAAGGCCUUCGGGUUGUAAAGUACUUUCAGCGAGGAGGAAGGCGUUAAGGUUAAUAACCUUAGCGAUUGACGUUACUCGCAGAAGAAGCACCGGCUAACUCCGUGCCAGCAGCCGCGGUAAUACGGAGGGUGCAAGCGUUAAUCGGAAUUACUGGGCGUAAAGCGCACGCAGG
RNAcentral lists this ribosomal RNA (221 nucleotides) under Klebsiella aerogenes. RNAcentral describes it as "partial 16S ribosomal RNA". It matches the Rfam family "Bacterial small subunit ribosomal RNA", at positions 362 to 575 of the family's 1533-position model. The record is from RNAcentral. Lineage: Bacteria; Pseudomonadati; Pseudomonadota; Gammaproteobacteria; Enterobacterales; Enterobacteriaceae.